This 36-nucleotide small RNA is filed under the name Acididesulfobacillus acetoxydans. RNAcentral's name for it is "CRISPR spacer". The record is from RNAcentral. Lineage: Bacteria; Bacillati; Bacillota; Clostridia; Eubacteriales; Peptococcaceae.
CCUUCUUUUUUAUAUAAAGAGAGACCAGAGAUGUUU